CAUGUUGGACUGGAUGGCUGUGAACAGAGGCUAAAAGCACAAUCUGUUGUUAGAGUGGCAAGUAGAGACGUGGCAGGUGCCUGUCUUUGAAGGUCUGCUGCUUGUUUGGGGUCUGUUGUGAUUCUGGAGCUAUUGAAACACGACAGCAGGUGACCCUCGUUCACCCACGUCUGCUCACAGUGUCUGCAGAGCAGGAGUUUGGACUGACUGCAUGGGCGUUCACCAGCUCGGGCCUCCUGCUGGCCUGGCACCGAGGGGCGGUCAGCGGCCAGCAUGAGAGCUUGUCCGGUCCCGACUUUCCACUCACCUCUUUGCUAAGAUGUUGGCUCAAGUUAAUUUGGCCAGGAUGUAUUUUAAUUUAUUAUUUUUGAAAUCAAAUGUGAGUUAGUAGAAGUCAGUUUUGUGAUAUUU
Molecule: long non-coding RNA, 411 nt
Filed under: Equus asinus (donkey)
Lineage: Eukaryota; Metazoa; Chordata; Mammalia; Perissodactyla; Equidae
Description: lncRNA (ENSEASG00005025662.1)
Source: RNAcentral